UGGUGUAAGCUUCCAUAUCCUCUGCUUAGUCAUGUCAUGAUUCGUACUUCAAUAAUUAUUAUUUGAUGAUACGAAUAAGACACGAAAUUACCAUGUAAAAAAAGGUAACCACCAUCGAUGGAUCCUAUCCUAUCCUACCUUAGUUAUUAUUACCUUCAAAUCAAAUCAGAAUUCCCUCCGCCGUCCUCCUCGAUCUCUUCCCUCCCUCUCUGCAAUAUUGCUUUGCUUUUGCCUUUGGCCUUUGGCUUUCUCUGCUGCCGCUAAUGGCGUUGUUAAUGGCCGCCACCUCCCGGCUUUAACCCCUCGCUAAACCAUUUCUUCCUCCUCCUCCUCGUCUCUGCCUAAUCAACCGGUCCAUGCUGGAAAAAAUGAGGCGGGUGGCGCCGGCGGCCGUCGCUUCUGCCCACCACGGAGAUGAUGUCCACCAAGCCCACGACGGAGGCGCCCACUCCUCGCCUAGCUGCGCCUGCGCCUGCCCCUGCCGCCGCGGCAAGGCGGGCGCGUCCACCGUCGGCGACAAUGACGGCAGCCGCCCGUCGCCGGAGGCCAAAGGUGCCGCCUUGCCGCGGAUCUGCAUCCGGGACCCCGCCGGCCNNNN
This 598-nucleotide long non-coding RNA is filed under the name Hordeum vulgare. Its description in RNAcentral is "long non-coding RNA (HVUL_LNC011291)". Lineage: Eukaryota; Viridiplantae; Streptophyta; Magnoliopsida; Poales; Poaceae. The record is from RNAcentral.